GUGCUCACUUCGGCAGUACCAUACUGAAAUGGGAAGGAUACACAAAAGAUUAACAUGGCCCCGGUGCACAUUCAUGAAACGUGCCAUAGUAAAGAGAGCCCUUCUCAC
Molecule: small nuclear RNA, 108 nt
Filed under: Echinops telfairi (small Madagascar hedgehog)
Lineage: Eukaryota; Metazoa; Chordata; Mammalia; Afrosoricida; Tenrecidae
Source: RNAcentral